CCGCGCCCCAAGGCCCGCGCGUCCCGCCACCACCCCCGCGCCCCCUGCGCCCAGGCUCCUGUGACCACCUGAGAACCCAGCGGCUGGGCUCCAGCACCGAUGUCGCCUCCAGCCAGGGCCUGGCAGUCUGGGAAACCAGGACAACUGCUCAGACCGAAGGAAGUGACGUCACCGGCGUAGGUGUUGGGAGCUCCGUGCCGUAGCAGCCUGUGUGCAAUGGCUGUUGCCUAGGAGACAGGAACGGCCCUCUGCCAUCAAGCCAGGGAACCUUGAUUGCUCAUGCUCAGUUGUGCCGGCAUAGCGUAACCGCGAUGCAAAGCGUCUUUUUGCCAGCUGGGACGUGGAAUCUGUGAACCUGAGCAGUGUCAGCAGACCCGACAGAAUAACGUGGUAGUGACGUUUACAAUCUUUGGAGUCAAACUGCAUGUUUGAUUCUUGGCGUUUGCAAAUUAAGGUCUCUAUGUUUUGGUUUCUUCUGAAACUAAUAAUGAUGCCCGACUUAAAAGAGUUGCUGUGAAUACUGAAUGCUAUAUGUAGUGAAAUAUUUGGGAAGUUGUCUAGAGUUGCAUUUGGUUAAUAUUACAUAUGAGCGCUUCUUGCAACGAAUGCAGUACAGCAUAAAGGCUGUUUCACAUCUUUGAUGGAAAGUUUCUUCUAUGUUUAGCGGAUAAUCGCUAAAAAAAAAAAAAUCAGUCAAUAAAGAAAAUGGACAAGUAGGCUGGAGGACAAUGUA
This is a non-coding RNA of Peromyscus maniculatus bairdii (prairie deer mouse), 733 nucleotides long. The record is from RefSeq and is a predicted model, not a curated record. NCBI's taxonomy places the organism in Eukaryota, Metazoa, Chordata, Mammalia, Rodentia, Cricetidae.